This is a long non-coding RNA of Chinchilla lanigera (long-tailed chinchilla), 984 nucleotides long. RefSeq lists it as uncharacterized. The transcript is spliced from 2 exons. The record is from RefSeq and is a predicted model, not a curated record. Lineage: Eukaryota; Metazoa; Chordata; Mammalia; Rodentia; Chinchillidae.
AAUGAAUAUUAUUAACUAAUAAUAAUGAUAGUAAUGAUAAUAAUCUCAACUCUGCAGAGCACUGAGUCCCUUCCUUCCCUGUUCUCAGAAUCCUGGCAGGGCUGAGGCGGCUCCAGACCCCAGGUUCCCUGCCUCCCCAUCCAGCUCUUUCCUGAAGACCACAGCACACGGCACAAAAGCACUCACUCAUCACUGCCCACUCCAACCCCCCGAGACUGACGGUUUCGACAGGGCUCGAAAAGGCUGCCCACAUCACACAACCCAACUCAGUCCUAUCUGCUACUGGACAUAAGGUAUACAGCCCUGUACACAUCACAAUGAACAAUGAGUAAACAAUCUCUGAACGGCCGUCUCUCCACCGUGCCAGACUCAGGAGUUGGCUGAGGCAGUCACUGGCCCUGCGGGCACCUAAUCCCCCUGCUCACUUAGAGAAGACAGCAGUGCCCCUGCCAACACCGAGCUGCCAGACAGAGAGAGAGAAGAAAAGUGCUUAACACAGCAGUAAAAAUGCCGUCACUAUGACUUCCUGGGGAGCUGUUUCCUUUUAGCACUGGUGCUCUGGCAAGAUGGGGCCCCUACCAAACCUAGAGCAGAAAAGUUGUGUGGACCAGAAUAGGCCCUGGGCAACCCAUGAGCCACAAAAUCUCAAUCCUGUGAAUAACCCUAACAGGAGAAUGGGACCGGUGAGACAAAACCAGGGGCAAAGCCACAAAUGCACCUUGACUGACUUCCUGGAAGCCCCACCCCCACACUUUGUGGCCUCUGAAACCCAAGCUGGCAAAAUGAAAAUGUCAUAUCUCACUACUGGAUAAAUAGAGAGCUCUUUCUCCCUCUUCUGGAGGACUAAACUGAGAAAAUAUUUGGUAAUCAAAACAAAAGGGGGAGAGUGGGGCUAGGGUUGGAUCAAGUGGUAGACCACAACAUACACGAGUUCUUGGACUCAGUCCCCAGUACUGAGAGAAAAAAAUAAAAGGAAAAGAAUUA